UCCGGAGUUUCUCCGGCAGUCUCACAUGAGUGCCCGGCAUAACCCGAUGGCAACAUGCGAUGGGGGUUGCGCUCGUUGCGGCACUUAAGCCAACACCUCACGACACGAGCUGACGACAGCCAUGCAGCACCUGUGCACGUGUCCCGAAGGAGGGCCCCUGUUUCCAGGGGCUUUCACGUGCAUGUCAAACCUAGGUAAGGUUCUUCGCGUUGCAUCGAAUUAAUCCGCAUGCUCCGCCGCUUGUGCGGGCCCCCGUCAAUUCCUUUGAGUUUUAGCCUUGCGGCCGUACUCCCCAGGCGGGGCGCUUAAUGCGUUAGCUACGGCACAGAAUCAACCAACGUGACCCCACACCUAGCGCCCAACGUUUACGGUGUGGACUAC
Molecule: unclassified non-coding RNA, 381 nt
Filed under: uncultured Actinomycetes bacterium
Lineage: Bacteria; Bacillati; Actinomycetota; Actinomycetes
Description: uncultured actinobacterium contains 16S-23S intergenic spacer region
Source: RNAcentral